RNAcentral lists this long non-coding RNA (796 nucleotides) under Olea europaea subsp. europaea. Lineage: Eukaryota; Viridiplantae; Streptophyta; Magnoliopsida; Lamiales; Oleaceae. The record is from RNAcentral.
GGAUCCUGUAAAUGAUAAAUAAGUAUUUAGGUGCAAAGAAUAUUAUAUAUGAUCAUUGAUCACUACAUUAUUCUGUACUUUUUUGCAUAGUGCCUAUGGAAUAGCAAUCUCCAUCUAAAGCAAUUAAUUAAUAAGAAAAAAUCAGAUAAAUAAACAGAAUAAACAAAUCUUGCCAUUUACAGGAUCCAAUAAGGAAUAUGUGAGUCGUGAAGCAAUUAAAUCAAUUAUUCAAGUUCUAAAAACUGCUAUACAGGAAAGAGAUGAAGCCAAAAUUACCUCAACGGACAACAGAAUAUGAUUUUGCCUUUAACUUCUUCGGCGAAAAAUUUACCUGUGCUUCCUCAAUCCCCACGUUCAGGUCGAUAGCCUGCUUGGCCACUUUUAAAACCUAGCAAAUUUAAUUCAAGUCUCGAAAAAAGAUUGACGAAAAAAUGAAUGAGUACUUCAGAUUUUCGGCAAGAGAUUAAUGGGAAAUAUGAAUCGUCGUAUAGGGUAUAGAGAUAAUUCUUUUGGUGAAGAAUGAAGAUUAUUGCCGAUUGAAGUCUCAGAGUCUAGAGAAAAAACAUGUCUCUUGACUCUCUGCCUUUCCUCCAUUUUAAGGAUACAAUUCUUAAAAACAUCUCCAGUAGUGAAUGUUUUGCUCUUCUUUUAAAAUCCACAUGCUCAAACAUGGCGUCAUACUUCAAUUUUGGCUGGCCACCUAAAAUAGAAGAUGUAGAGCAGAAGUAGACACAGCUUGAAUGCACAAAUAGAAGCUUUGAGGGUUAGGGUAGGAGAGAUUUGAUGCUGAGUGGAG